AUGAACGCUGGCGGCGUGCUUAACACAUGCAAGUCGAACGAAGCACUUUAUUUGAUUUCCUUCGGGACUGAUUAUUUUGUGACUGAGUGGCGGACGGGUGAGUAACGCGUGGGUAACCUGCCUUGUACAGGGGGAUAACAGUUGGAAACGGCUGCUAAUACCGCAUAAGCGCACAGCAUCGCAUGGUGCAGUGUGAAAAACUCCGGUGGUAUAAGAUGGACCCGCGUUGGAUUAGCUAGUUGGUGAGGUAACGGCCCACCAAGGCGACGAUCCAUAGCCGACCUGAGAGGGUGACCGGCCACAUUGGGACUGAGACACGGCCCAAACUCCUACGGGAGGCAGCAGUGGGGAAUAUUGCACAAUGGGCGAAAGCCUGAUGCAGCGACGCCGCGUGAGCGAAGAAGUAUUUCGGUAUGUAAAGCUCUAUCAGCAGGGAAGAUAAUGACGGUACCUGACGAAGAAGCACCGGCUAAAUACGUG
This 480-nucleotide ribosomal RNA is filed under the name uncultured bacterium. RNAcentral describes it as "partial 16S ribosomal RNA". It matches the Rfam family "Bacterial small subunit ribosomal RNA", at positions 29 to 507 of the family's 1533-position model. The record is from RNAcentral.